This 735-nucleotide ribosomal RNA is filed under the name uncultured soil bacterium. RNAcentral describes it as "bacterial SSU rRNA". It matches the Rfam family "Bacterial small subunit ribosomal RNA", at positions 56 to 790 of the family's 1533-position model. The record is from RNAcentral.
UGCAGCUCGAGUGCGCGCAUGUAACAGUACAGGUGGCGCACGGCGCACGGGGUGCGUAACACGUGGGAUAAUCUGCCCUCUGAUGGGGAAUAAGUCGCCGAAAGGCGAGCUAAUUCCGCAUAAUAUUCCGAAAAGUUCGCUUUUUGGACUGAAAGGCGUAAGUCGUCGGAGGAGGAGCCCGCGCACGAUUAGCUAGUUGGUAGGGUAAUGGCCUACCAAGGCUUUGAUCGUUAGCUGGUCUGAGAGGAUGGCCAGCCACACUGGAACUGAGACACGGUCCAGACUCCUACGGGAGGCAGCAGUGGGGAAUCUUGCACAAUGGGCGAAAGCCUGAUGCAGCGACGCCGCGUGGGGGAUGAAGCUUCUCGGAGUGUAAACCCCUUUCGAUCCGGACGAAUGCCUCGCAAGAGGAGUGACGGUACGGAUAUAAGAAGCCCCGGCUAACUACGUGCCAGCAGCCGCGGUAAUACGUAGGGGGCCAGCGUUGUUCGGAAUUACUGGGUGUAAAGGGUUCGUAGGCGGUGUGGCAAGUUGGGAGUGAAAUCUCUGGGCUCAACCCAUAGACGGCUUCCAAAACUGCCGUGCUUGAGUGUGAGAGAGGCUCGUGGAAUUGCAGGUGUAUCGGUGAAAUGCGUAGAUAUCUGCAGGAACACCCGUGGCGAACGCGGCGAGCUGGAUCACUACUGACGCUGAUGAACGGAAGCUAGGGGAGCAAACCGGAUUAGAUACCCCUGG